CGGGUGAGUAACGCGUGGAUAAUCUACCCUUAAGAUGGGGAUAACGGCUGGAAACGGUCGCUAAUACCGAAUACGCUCCCGAUUUUAUCAUUGGGGGGAAAGAUGGCCUCUGCUUGCAAGCUAUCGCUUAAGGAUGAGUCCGCGUCCCAUUAGCUAGUUGGCGGGGUAACGGCCCACCAAGGCAACGAUGGGUAGCCGGUCUGAGAGGAUGACCGGCCACACUGGAACUGGAACACGGUCCAG
Molecule: ribosomal RNA, 243 nt
Filed under: uncultured bacterium
Lineage: Bacteria
Description: partial 16S ribosomal RNA
Rfam family: Bacterial small subunit ribosomal RNA
Source: RNAcentral